UGAGUAGGGUGCAUGCCGUGAGUGCUGUA
RNAcentral lists this non-coding RNA (29 nucleotides) under Homo sapiens (human). Lineage: Eukaryota; Metazoa; Chordata; Mammalia; Primates; Hominidae. The record is from RNAcentral.